RNAcentral lists this transfer RNA (608 nucleotides) under uncultured Prochlorococcus sp. Its description in RNAcentral is "partial 16S-23S ribosomal RNA intergenic spacer". The stretch from base 222 to 294 matches the Rfam family "tRNA". The record is from RNAcentral. Lineage: Bacteria; Bacillati; Cyanobacteriota; Cyanophyceae; Synechococcales; Prochlorococcaceae.
CAUGAUGUCUGAAUAUGUUUUAGACCUUGGUCCUGUCACCUUAGGUCGAUCGGUACCUCAUAUUUAUAGUCAAAUAAAUUUGGCCCUUAAAUAUCAGUUCCUAAACUUGUCUAGGUCACACCCAACAAGGGUACUCCUGGGCCAUUAGCUCAGGUGGUUAGAGCGCACCCCUGAUAAGGGUGAGGUCCCUGGUUCAAGUCCAGGAUGGCCCAUUCGAUGUUGGGGGUAUAGCUCAGUUGGUAGAGCGCCUGCUUUGCAAGCAGGAUGUCAGCGGUUCGAGUCCGCUUACCUCCACUGAUCGACCUCCUGAUAGCAAGAAUCCUGGAGAAUUUUUGUUGGUUUGGUUUAGACUAAGUUCUGAAAGAAUGAAUGAACCUAGCUUCUUGUCAUCAUUUUCUUUGUUGAUAAGACGCUGGGCUCACUGCAAUUUUAAUUGCAGCGAUCUUCAGUAGAACCUUGACAACUGCAUAGAUGAGUUUGGAAAGAAUAAAGCAUCUCAUGGAUGCAUUAUCUUUAGUAAAUAGUAUUUGUUCUGAGUGAUCAAAAUAAAUACAAAAUUAUUAGAGAAUAAUGUGAAAUUCUUGAGCAAGAGCCGAGACUCUAGGCGA